Molecule: long non-coding RNA, 21640 nt
Filed under: Ananas comosus (pineapple)
Lineage: Eukaryota; Viridiplantae; Streptophyta; Magnoliopsida; Poales; Bromeliaceae
Description: long non-coding RNA (ACOM_LNC009513)
Source: RNAcentral
AAUCGAGUUCGCUGUUUGCAAGCCAACUUGUGUUCGGUUCGAAAUGAGCUCGAGAACGAAUCACUCGUUUAAUAAACGAGCCAAACACGAGCCGAACUUUUCAAUUUUUUUAAUAAACAAGCAAAACACGAGCUGAGGUCGGCUCACUCAUGUUCAACUCGAAAACAGCUCGACACACACACACACACACACACAAACACACACACACACACACAAAAUGGGUAAAAUUUCCACUAUUAGAUCAAACUCAAAUGGUAAGAUCUCAUCAAUUUAUUUUCUAUCCAUAUUCUUCAUAAUUCUUUUAGCUUGUUGUUCAUGAACAGCUUCUCGUCAAUUUUUCGGCUCAGAUACUUUAACAAGCCAGCUUGUAUUCGGCUCGUGUUUGGACCCUAAGAAGUACAAUAGUUUGGCUAAUUUACUUAUUCUUCAUUUCAUUCACGCAUUUAUUAUUUUGACGGUUGUUAUUUAGUUUACCGUUCAUGAGUCUGAUUAUCUAUUUCUGGUGUGGGCAUUUUUUAGAGGUUUAUGAAUGCAACUGCAGAUGAUUUGGGUAAUUAUAGUAAUUAUUGAGGAGAAAUAUAAACCCCAUUUUAUUUUAGUUUGAUUUAAAUUUAAAUUUUUUUUUUGUCUUAAUUAAUGGCAACAACUUCAAAGCUUUGUUCCUUGGCUAGUUUGGUAGAUACAAAAAUAAGAAUAUCACACAAUAAUAAUCACAAUAAAAUUUUGCUUCAUAACAUAAAAAGAGAUCAUUUAAUGAGUACUUAAUUUGGCACCUUACAUGUACUUGAAAACAUAAUAUUUGGAAUCCUUUACCAACCAAUCAUGCUCCCAAUUUAAUAGUGAAAUGGUGAUAUCUUUUCAUGAGUCUCAAUCCCCAUGCUUAAGCACAUGCUUGACAUGUACUUGUGGGAAUUGUAACAAUAAUUAACUUAGUGUUAUUUAUUACCCUCUUUUUGUGUAUUUAAACUUUAUUUUCGAUAAUAGAAUAUUUAAAUUGACAAUACAUUUGAAUUGAAUACUCAACUUUACAUGCAAUUUUGAUAGAAUUUUUUAAAAUUAUUUAAAACAAGAUCUCCGUGUUUUGGAAAUUAAUUAGCACUUUAGCAUAACUCAACAAACUAAUAAUUAAUGUACAUAAAUAAAUUGGCUAUUUAUCUACAUGUAGUUGGCUAAACUUUAUCAAAUUCUCCAACAACCUAUCUUGCACUUUGUUUUUUUUUCCCCAUUAGCAUGAAUAUGAUGCAACAUAAAAGACCCAUAAGAAUGAUUACAAAUGUUUGGUGUGGGAACUCCCCUACCUACCUAUAAUAAAGUGACAAAUAGAGCAUUGAUUAAUUAUGAAGGCAUGUGACAAAUCAUGUGCAUGAACCAUUAGUGAUUUGUCUCUAAUGUAUUUUUUGUUUUCUAAUUUUAAUUAUAAUCUAUCUUUCACUAUCUCACAACUAGAGCAUUUUGUACAUUCUUAUAGUACUUCAUCUUUAUUAAUCAUUCAUUUUAUCUAAUUAUUCUUCAUCUAUUUAUAUUUAUAUCUAUAUAUUAUUUUUUCUAAAAUUGCCACAUGGCCACUUUUUCUUCAUGAUUGAGUGUGGGCUCCACCCCCGAAUCAGUUCAAGUCCUUCCGCUUCCUUUUUCUUCGGCUGUUACUUUUAUUUAUCGACAAGAUGAAUCCCACUCAUCAUCGCUUCUUUUAUCAUCGUUUUCUCUUUUUUUGUCGAUGUUUUUUAUUUUUCUCUAAUUAUCUACUGUCAGAUCGCGCGGGAUAUUACGCUAGCUAGUUUAACAAUAUGUGAUGUAUAUAAAAAAAUUAACAUGGUGUACAAAUAUCUCGAUGCACAAGAUACAGGCAAUUACUUUUAACAAGGCACUUGCGCUAGAAACGACCAGUAAAUCAAACUAAAUUAAAAUAUUAAAAAGUUGGAUAGUAAAAAUAGUCCGAAGUUUAAGUCAACUCUAUACAAUUUUACCUGCUUGCAUGUUGUUUGAUUUUUUUUUGUUUUUAAAUUUAUGCUAACUAUUGCACCUUAAGAUGCGUGCAAAUGUGGAUAAACUAGGCUCAUAUAUGUCACAUGUAUGAGCAUUGAUAUGAAAAUGAUGGAGUGGGCUAAGAGAAAAGGAGAAGAUCAGAAGACCCAUUUAAUUGUAGCUAUAUUUGCUUUUAAUAGUAAAUAAAAAAGGUAAAAAUGUAUAGAUAAUUCUUAUACUCUAUUUCCAUUGUUAAAAUUUUAUAUGUGAAUAGUUGCAUGUUGAAUAAUUAGUAAAGAAAAUAAAGAAUUAAUAUAUAUUAAUAGGUUCAAGUCUCAUAAGUUUAAGUUUUUAGUUUAUAUGAGUUACAUUAGAUAUGUCACAUUUUUAUUACAUGAAGGUCCUAGAUCAGAAUUUUCUAACAUAUAUUUCCAAAUAUCUGCAUAAAUAUUUCACUUCCAAACAUCAAAAAAAUUGUCUAAUAUUCUUAUAAAAUAACCAUCUUUCCCUUUUGUGGUUACCAAUUUAUAUAUUUCUGUCCACAUCAAAUAAAAGUUUGACUUUUUUAAUUAAAAAAAAUUAAAUAUAUAAUAUAUGUAAAAAUUUAGAAAAUUAAGUGUUUAAAUAAAAAGUAGGGUAAACUUUAAUUUACCACUAUAUGGUUUAAAAGUUACACUUGAUUACCCAAAAAAAUCUGCAAGUAAAUAUAUAGGAUAACAAAAUAAAUUAUUUUUUCUUGAAAACUGCACGAUGUUACUCUAUUUAACGAUAUAUCAUUAUAGUGAAAUAAAAAAUAAAAUCAUAAAAUAGCUAAGUGUAACUUAACCACAAUGUGACAAAUUAAGUGAAAGCACGCUAAACUAUAGGGCAGUUAAGUGAAACUUUUUGAAACAUAAUAUGGUAAUUAAAGCUUACCCUGAAAAGUAUUAGAACCAAAUUGCCAUAUGUAGAUAAUAUAGGGUCUUUUCACACAUUUUACACUAAAAUAAAUAAAACAAUAUGUCAAAGUCAAAGGGCCCCAUGGAGCUCUAUUUUAAUUGACAUGUAGGUGCGAAACCCAACCACCAAAAUCAGCAAAAUAUAUUCUUUUGAAGGGGCUUUGCGUGUUGUAUUUUAAUUGUGUCUCUCCAAAAUGUUUAAUUACAUUAUUAGUUAUUAUUAUUAUUAUUAUUUUUACAAAUAAGUUGAUGAGUCAAAGUCUAAAGUCUACAGAUCAGGUGAGAAAAUAGUAACAAAUUAGUUUCUUUUUGUACAAUGUUUUUCCUUAGUUGGUGAAUCAUCUUUGUCAUUUAUUUCUAAGUAUUAUUGUUGACCUCUCAAUUUGGAUCUAGCUAGUAUUUAUUUAACGCCUAGGCAUGGAGACAUCUGGAACUGGCUCUGAUGCCGUGUUACUCACCAAAUUGAUUUUGCAAAAAAAAAAAAAAAGUCUAGAAAUAAUUUGACCAGAUAAUAUUCGUAUACUCGUAGCUGUACGUAUGGACGUUAAACAUUGGUUUUAUUACACUUGCGUGUCAUAAGAAUAAGCACUCUUAAAAGUACGUCUUGCACUAAGCAGAAAAGCACCGAUCUUUAGUAUACUUCUUUGUUCUGCAAACGGGAUUCGAGAUGCGGUAUUUCUCUGUAACCCCUGCUCUCGCUUCAUGAAUCAUGUUCCGCACCGGUGAAACGUGAUUCAUCACAUCGAUCUCGCGAGAAGUGACCGAGAACUUGGCUUGAAAAUGAAGAUUGAUCGUUACAAAGGCACGCCUUGGGCACUUUUAAAAGCUUAAUUUCUUGCGCUCUCCAUCUAGCAAUGUCGCAUGCACAACGGGCUAACGUGGACAGCCAUGCGGUAUUUCGAAAGAACCUUUUGUACGCUUCUGCGUUUGUGACAGACGGAGUUUGAGACAUGCGUGAUAGUUCUUUGGAACUGCUGCCACGCAUUCUUAUGCGCGAAAGCAGAAGACCUACUCGACGCAUCACGUUUUGCACUACAGAAAACGUACGUUUGUUCAACGCAUAACCUUUAUUUUAUAUACAUCUAUAAAUAUACUUUCUAAUAUAAUAUAUCAAAAUACAAUGAAUGAAGAAAAUUUAAGAAAUAUAUCGGGCAGUAGUAAUUAAACACAGCUCUUAUUAAAUAAAGAAAUGAUAUUAACAAUUACAUCUUUAAUAAGGGCUAAUCAUAUUCGUCGAAUCUGGACAAAUUCGGUCAGUAAAUAAUGACCGAGUUCAACGAAUCUUUUUUGUUGUGCAUAAUAAUGCUAAAUAUUAUAUUAUGCGGAUAAUAAUAAGCUCUAUUGUGUGAGUAAAGUUUUGUCCCAAAUCCACUUGCUAAAAUGCAAUUUCUCUUUUUCGCGAAUCUAAUACCACCCUUGUUGCUCGACACAUAGAAUCCGGGCCCACAUCCGACCGUACGAUAUGCCACGUGGCAUCAUCUGAACGGCUUUUCCGUGCGAAUGCGUACGACGCACUCCGCGUCCUCCACAAGAAGAAUCUCCCUGCACACUUGGUUCUCACUGUGCACCCGGUCUACAGCCGUUACAAAGUAAACUCGCCUCCUAUUGGGUGGCUCAAAGUUAUUGCGUGCACCACGGUCUAUUGUCAAGGGCUAUCCCUAUUUUUAAUAUUCUUGUAAUUUUAAUAUUUUUUUAAAGUAUUUCUAUCUCGGGAUCACUAAUAGAAUUGAAUUUAGAAAGGUAUUUUAAUAAUUUCAAAAUAAAAUUUAAGAAUUUUAAAUAAUAGUAAAGAAUAAAUAAAUCAAAAAUUCUUAUUUUAUUUUGUUUUAUUUUAUUUUAACAUUUUGUUACCUGUCACGGUGAAUAAAAGUCAAAAAUUCAAUCUCAAAUCUGACGUAAAAUAAUAAUAAAAAAUUCAGUAAAAAGAAAUUUUCAGGGAAAGGAAAGUGUUAAUAAGGUUCGAGCUAGUGGCUUCUUAAGUUUUUUUUAAAAAAAAGAAAAAAAAAGAAAAAACUUCAAAUACCCUGUAGUUUCACUUUUUCUCACUUUAGUAUCCUGUGAUUUAAAGUGCAUCAAAUUAGUAUCCUGUGGUUUAGUACUUUCUCAUUUUAAUACCCUGUGGUUUAAAGUAUAUCAAGUUAGUACUCUGUGGUUUCGCACUUUCUCACUUUAGUAUCCUGUGGUUUCGCACUUUCUUAUUUUAAUAGCCUGUGGUUUAAUAUUUAAUUAAGAAAAAAAUAAAAUUACAGAGUACUAACUUGAUAUAAAAAUAAAACGACAAGCUACUAAUUUGAUAUAAAAAUAAAACCACAGAGUACUAAUUUGAUACAUUUUAAUCCACAGGAUACUAAAGUGAGAAAGUGCGAAAUCAUAUGGUACUAACUUGAUAUACUUUAAACCACAGAAUGCUAAAAUGAAAAAGUACGAAACCACGUAGAGGGUUUUUGAAGUUUUCCGUAAAAAAACCCUAAAUUUACUAUCUAACCUUUCGUUUACUUAAUUUAGGACUAAAUGCAUUAUUUAUUUUUAUAUAUUUGAUUAGCAUAUUUUAUACAAUUCACAUAACUAUAAAUUUUUCAAAAUAAAUUAUUAACUUAAAAUUUGAAAUUAAAACACCUCAAGUUGAAAAAUUUGAAAGAUUGAAUAGUUAAAUCAAAAUAAUUUAUAGUUAGCUAGAUUCAGUAAAUUUUUAUCAAAAAUAUAUUUAAUAAUUAAAAAAUUAUAGGGAUGUAAGUGUAAUAUUAGAAGUGUGUAGGGAUAUAGAUGAUGAAACCUAUUUAUUAGGUGUGUGACACGUAGCGGGGAGACCAUGUUGACGCAAACUACGUAAUGGAACGGAACUUUGCCUUUUCCUUUUUUAUUUUAUUUUUUAUUUUUUUAAUAAUAGUUUUGGGCUCCGCUCUCACUUCGCAGAGGAAAAAGAUAAAAAGGAAAAGGAAAAGGAAAAGCCACUCUUUUUUAUACCCACUUCCACACCCUCUCUCUCUCUCCCUCUCUCUCUCUCUCCUUGCUCAGUGGUGGAAACCCUAGAGUGAGAGGCGGGGGAUCGAUCGGAGGGGUGGGGGGGAGGGGGCGAUAGCUGCGGUGCUGGGGGAAUCGUCGAUGACCUGGAGGGACGGGAGGGAUCGGCGGGGCGGAUCCGAAACCCUAGGGUCGCGUGCUCCCACCGCGGAGGACGCCUCCUUUUGCGGCGGCGCUCUUUCUCGUCGCGCUGUGGUGAGGUGAGGUGAGGUGAGGUGAGGUGAAGGGCCGCCGAUUUUGGAUCUCGCGACUCGGUUUCGAGCUCCUCGGCAUCGAUCGCGUCGAUUGUGGGGAUAUUUUUAGGUAAUCUUGGCGAACUCAGUCGAAGGAUCUCCACUCGAGAGGUAUAGCGUGGAUUCAGUUGUCGGAAAUCAGAUUUUAGGUGUUGUUGUUCGUUUUUGAUCUCAUCGUCGUUUCUCGCGUCGAUUUUUGGUGGAUUUAGGUAAAUCUUUAGCUAUUCAGUGGAAGAAUCUCUACUACAGAAGCAGAGAACAUUAGGCUGGGAUUUGUUUUCGUUUAGGGUUUUCAUUCGGUCUUUUGAAGUUAUUUUUUGGUCCCAGGGUUCGAAUUUUGAUCUUCUCGUCGUUAAUCGGGUCGAUUUUAGGGUCAUGCUUAGGUAAUUUUGUAAACUCAGUCGAAGAAUCUCUACUCGAGAGGCAACAAAGGUUCAGCUGUUGCAAGUGCGGGUUUUGAUCGUUCUUUUGGUGGGAGUUUAGGUCCCACAAUUCGGUUUUGAGCGUCGUGGGGUUGAUCGGGCGACUUUCGGGGCAUUUUUAGCUGAUUUUAGCGGCUCAGUCGAAGAAUCCCCACUCGGGAAGCAAAGCAGAUUCGGUUGCAACAUAUGAUCUUUUUCCUUUUUUCCUUUUUGAAAUUAUAAAUUUAGGUUUUGAUCAUUCUUUUGAUGCGAUUUUGUUGCGAAGAUGAUCUCAUGGGUUACUAAUAUCAAUUAUUGAUAUCGAGAAAAGAUUUCGCCACUAUUAGUGUUUUAUUGGUAGGAAAUUGUUCUAAUUUCUUAAAUAAUUGUAGGGAAAUUUGCUGUUGGAUACUAGUAAGUCAAAUUUCAAGCACGCUUUGACCAGUGUUUGCUUUAAUUUCUUUGCUCUAUUCAAUAUUUCUAAGGGAUGCAUGAGGAAAAGUCUCAUCUCUCUCUCAUUUUUCUUUUUUGAUUUUUUUGUCUCUUCUGUUGACGGAGACUAAGAUUCUUCGUUCUAUGUGGUUAUUACUCUAUAUUCGACCGAUUUGAUCCCCCCUCUUUCUGUGAGUUCUGUGAGGGCACUGAUAACAAAAUCAAACACUUCCUCCUCUUCUGUCUUCUAGGUUGGUACUGAGAUAAGAUCCAAUCUCAAUUCAAAAGGCCAAGGUUUUUUGUGGUAAGGAAUGAGGAGUUGGUUCUUGAGAUAUUAUUUUUGAUCAUUAUUGUGGAGACUCAGUGUGGUUGUUAUGUAAAGAAUGUGAUCUAUGGACUUCGAUGAUGGAUCUCUUAGCAUUCUUCUAUUUGGAAAUUAUAUGGAUUAGUCCCUUUUUGUGAGUCCUGUUUAUACCUUGAUGAUCUCUCUCUCUCUCUCUUUCCCUUCACAAAAAAUAGCUAUUUCAGAAUGUUCUAGUUGUUAGCGAUACCUAUGCCCUCUCAAAUCCGUUGCGUCAUGGGUUCAUUUCCUAACAACUUAUAUUUGUCAAACCCUCAUCUGUUGCCUGUAACGUUAGCUCAUGCCAAUUUUCUGUUUUUUGUAUUUUCCACUAAUUUCUCUAUCAAGGGGAUUUGGAGUGGUUAUUCAAUGUUGCUUUUACAUUGCAGAAAUAAAUAUUGUCUAUUGGGUGUUAACUCUUAAUCAGUCAUAUGUUUGAAGUGACUCUAAUCAUGAUCACUACUUUUUGAUUUUCAGGAGCAGUUACUGCGUGAAUAUGAUUUCCUCUCGCAGGGAACGGUGUAAUGGGCAUUGAAGUCGUCCCCUCUUCCAAUUGUAAAUACCAUUGUUAAUAAGGACCAUUUUGGAAAUUUAUUCACUGUAAUCAACAUGGGGGCCAACUGCUGUGUUGCUGCAAAGGACAAGCCUUUGCCCAGUGCAACUCGGUGUGAGGUUUCUACGUAUAGGAAUAUGAGGCAAUCUCCUUCUUGGAGCUUUCGGUGGGAUAACCGAACCCACAUAGAGGAUAUAAUGGAUAAUACUGCUCAGUUUUCUCAGCACAGUAGCAACAGUAGUACUGCUGCUUCUGAAAUAAAGAAUGAAGCUGUCGUAGAAAAUGAAGGUCUUUUAGUUGGUGGAAGUUCACUUGAUGCCAUUUCUGCAGAAAAACAGCGAAAAUCUCAUCUUGAGACUGGAACUACUGGGAAAUCUAAAGCUGUCUUAACAGGUAAAGUUGCUUCUUUAACUCUUAAUCUAGAUGAUUAUUUUGUUGCUUUCACUCGUCAUUGUCGAAAAUUGGGGAACUUUUAUGAUUGUUGGAUUCUUUUUUAUGGUAGUUUAUCUUCAUUCAGAUUGAGUUAUUUUUUUUUAAUACCUAUAUUCUUAGUUGUUACUGCAAUAUACACAUAAACUGUACUUUCAUCAAUAUGUAGUUGCCACUUUAUCGUAUUAAAUUAUCGUGGUUUGGGGUUGAUUAGAUUUUGCUUGUAAUUUAAGGAAAAAUUUGAGUGAUGAAAGUUUCUUUUGGAAAAGAAAUUGUUGAGUUGUGUGUAUGACUGCAUGUUUGGUUUAUAUGUUAGCACGUCAGAAAAUGUGAUGAUAAUUUAAAAUCUGUUAUUAUAUUAAGAAUCCAUCUGUUUUGUUCUUCCAACCUUUAUUCUUAUAUUGAGACUUAAAUAGUACUCGGUAAAGGGAUAUACAUGGCUAGGUCAUUGUUGUGCUUGGAAACUGUUUUUGGGAAUUUGGUUAGGCUUUGGAGAACGCUUUUUUGGUGUUGACUCUCUAAAAGUAAGACCAAAUGUGGCAUUGCAAUCAUAAACUUUGUAGCACUGAAUUCUACAUUGAUAUAGGUGCCUUCUUAUGUGCUUAUGCGGUCCUGGUUACAUAUACUUCGAAUAGUGGAAUUAUUAUACUUAUAUUUUGCUCAGUUUUUCAUAGAUAUUGGACUUUUGAUGCCAUUAUUAUGGCUGACACUUUGCUCGAUUGGCCAUAGAUAUUUUGCUCAGUUUGCCAUAUAGGUGCCCACUUAAGUGCUCAUGUGGUCCCAUCGAUAAGCUCCACUCAUAAGGCUACACUGUAUGAAUAUCCAGUUACAGUGAGUAAGAAAUGGUAAUGUUUGUCAUACCAAUGCGCUAUAUCACCUGUUAGCUUACUCUCCAGUUUAUUUAACUGUGGCUUUACAAGAGCUUGGCUUCAGAAGAGCUCAAUUUGCCGUAGGCAUCGAACUGAAGCUGAGCUUCAGCUCAAGCUCUGAUACUCUUCCCAUUACCUCAGCUUCUCCUUGAAACUACGCUCGAAACUAGAUCAUUUUUUCACCUAGGUUCAGGACGGGACCUGAGCAUGGCAUAGUUUAAGCCCAAACUGCUGUGAGGCGUGCUUUAGCAAAUUAACCCCAGCUAUUCAAAGAACAUUUGGUUUGCAACCUUAUGUCCUUUUUUUUAUUUCUAGUUUUCUAGCAAUGUUGUCUUGUGGACCUUAUGUCAUCUAAUAUACUUCCCUCUCCUUACAGAUCAAACCAUGGAGAGCAACUUUUCCGCGGAGGUAAUAAUUUAAAUUACCAGCACUAGGAUUCUUUUAUUCCGAAAUCCUCCUGUGUUAGGCAGGAUUGAAGCUAAAUGCUUUUUCUUUUUUAUUAUUAUUUAUUAGUAGUAUUAUUAUUAUUUUUUGCAGGAGAAGGAUCCCGUGAAGCCUUCUGGCAAAGCAAGUGUCGAUUCAUCGAAACCCUCAACCUCUCUUCCUCAAACCCCGUCCUCUUCUACUUUUAAAUCAGACCCUUCCUCCUCUACAAGCCAUUCUCAGCUGUCCGGUCCAGCAUCAUCCAAGAAGCCACGCCAAUCUGACUGCAGGUCCUCUUCCGAUGGCUGGUCCAUGCACUUGUUCUCUGAGCUCAUCUCUUCUUCUCAAAGAGAAAGAUUGUCAUUUGACAGUGAAAACCAAAAUUCCAUAAACACUAGUAAGGCAUCAAGAUCAAACACUCAACAAUCAUCCCCCCCACUGUCCCCAGAAGACCAAAAAUGCAAAAUAUGCUUGAAGAAACUGAAGGAAAAAUCCCCAUGGAGUACUCAAAAGAUAAUUUCCACCAAUGAGCUUUCUGUUGUUGCUAUCUUAUUCUGCGGCCAUGUUUACCAUUCUGAAUGCCUGGAGAAAAUGACUACAGAAGCUGAUAAAUACGACCCUCCUUGCCCUAUGUGUACCCAUGGCGAGAAGUUUAUGUCGAAGCUAUUUGCGAAAAUCGAAUCAAAGGUUAGGAACAAGGCGUCCAAAAUCUCGGUUAUUGAUAUUGAUCCUGGUGGCGGGGGUAAUGCUCUGUCUGAGAAGCACCAAAAUGGAGGUCCGGGUAAAGGGCUUAAAUUGGGGGCGAGUUCUAGCAUGAAGGGCUCAACCAAGCAGCCGUUUUUAAAGCGGCACUUCUCGCUCGGUUCGCGGUUCUCACGGACGGUAUCUGAGAGCGAGUCCUCGAGAAAGAAGGGGUUUUGGGGAAGAUUAAGGGAUUGAAGGUGCCCCCUCCACGCCGCUCUCCUCUCUCUCUCUCUCUCUCUCUCUCUCUCUAAAUUUAAUCGAAGAAAAGAGGUGAGCUGCUGCUUUGGUUCUUUAUAUGUUUCGAUUAAUCAAAAUACAGGCAUUACAUCGAGGCAAUCUUUUCCCCACACCACUAAGAAUAUUCAAAUAAAUUUGCCGCUCUUCUCGAUUGCCUUUCUAGAUUGAAGGGUAUAAUGUAUGCUUAGUUCUUGUACUAUCCUGAUAUUGUGACUUUGCCCCCGUUAUUUUACCUUCAACACACAAUCCCCGAAUUUUUACAAAUGUGGCAGUUUAGCCCUGCACAGUCAUAUUGAAAAUCUAUUCUUUUGAAGUAGCCAUUUUGCUCGUUCAUUUGUAGUCUAUUUACAAGUAACAUGAGAUAUUUUUUAUGGUUAGGGACCACCAACGAAAUACAUGUUCAAGCCCGGGUUUAGAUUAUUGAGUCACAAUGUCGGGAAUCGUACUGGUUCUAUGCAUGUAGUUUCACUUGAUCUAAUGCUUGGACACUUCCUAUUUCACUAUACAAGUACAUUUAUUAGUGUGUAAAUUUUAGCUGAACAAAGCAUUAUAAAGUUACCGGUGAAGUGGAAAAGAAAAAAAAGAAAGAAGAGGGUGUGGAACUACUCUAUCUCUCAAGCUUCCCUAAAGCCUACUUCGCUUGUCGGAGAAGGGGAUGAAGUAGUAAAUAAUCUAGCAAAUAUAUUAAAGGGAGAUUAGAUGCAACUAAUCUAUGGUACAAGUAUUAAGCGAGUUUUGUAGCUUUUUGUCCUUUUUUUUUUCCCGUUAUUUGUCGCUGUAGUCGGUGAUCUUGUAUACUCGUUUCAUUUGGGGGAUUUUCGUAUCAGAACAUGUAUUGAUGAUAGUAAUGGUAUAUUUUGAACGCUAUAUUUGUGCUCCCUGAUUUUUCUCUAUUUGUUAUCUGAUUGUUUUCGUCGUCGUGUGUGCAUGUCAACUUGCUAUUUGCAGGGUCAUGGAUUCGUGACCAUUUUUAUAGAGAGAGACAAGUUAGAACUGCUGGAACAAAGAGAGAAUAGACACUUUCACCCUUUUCUUUUACCUUUUGGUGUUUAUUUAUUUAUUUAUUUAUUUAUUACUUGAUCUAUUUUGAGAAUUGCUUGCUCUUGGCAUCUUGGAAUCUCUCUUCCUGGGACUGGACUUCAACUGAGGCCUUCCUAAAUCCGAAAACGAAAGCGGUGUUUGAUUCCUCGGAAAAACUAUUUUCAAGGAAAAGAGAAUUUAUGGAAAACAGUUCUCGUUUUUCAAAUAAAUAAAUCUGAAAAUUAAAUGGAGGGAGAUUAUUUAUUUAUUUAUUUUCAUGAAAUCUGAAAAAUUUAUGGAACUGCAUAGCUCCUAUUUUUGGAGGACAUGGGUUGGUUAGUCAAAGGUUGUGUUUGUGAGGACUAGCUCAAGUUCAGGUUUGUUGAGUAGCUAACCCACUUGGGGGCAAAAAUUGUAUGGACACGGUGUGCAAAUUAGCAUUUUUGGGGACACUCCCGAUGGGCGCCGCGUGUCUCAUAGGCGUCCAUCUCACCGUCCCUUUUCCUUCCCCUACUUUUCUCUCUCUGUCUCUCUCUCUCUUUCUCUCUCUCUCUCUCUCUCUCUCUCUCUAUAUAUAUAUAUAUAUAUAUAUAUAUAUAUAUAGAAACCUUCCUCUACUUCUCUCUCUUUUUAGAAAAAGUCGCAUUUUUUUUUUAAGAAAGAGAAAGGGACGAUAAGAUGGGCGCCUGCGUGCCACGUGGUGCCCAUCCGGAGUGUCUUGAAAAAUGCUAAUUUGGACACCAUGUCAAUUUUUGCCCCCUACUUGGUUGUUGUGUUAUUGUUAGAGAUGCAAAUGAAUCCGAGUUCUUGGAUCUUCCACCCUAAUCCCGUAAGUGGAAGGCAAUAAAUGAAUUCGGAGCAGUGCCUGGAGCCUUUAUUUAUUUAUUUAUUUAUUUAUUUUUUAUAGUCCAAGACGGAUUCAGCAUUGAAAAUAGUGAAAAAAUUGAUCCGUCCUAAAUUUACCCUGAAUCUGUUUUUAAACUAUGAGAUUAUUAUUAUUAUUAUUUAGAAUAUUAUUUGAGUUCUAAAUAUUAUUUAUUUUUAAAGUUAGUGUAAUUUGCAAGCUAGUUGCUUUUAUGGUACUUUCCUUAUUUUUAAAUUUCAUUGUAAUUAUGUAAUCUAAGUUUCAAAUGUUGUUUAUUUCUAAAAUAAAUAUACUUCAAAAGAUUCUUGCUCUUUUGGUACUUUCAUCAACUUCAAAUUUUAUUUAAUUAAAAUAAUAAAAAACUAAUUAUAUUUAACUUAAAUUUUAAAUAAAAGUUUAAAAAGACAAAUUUUUAAGCAGGGCUGAUUAUAAGACAAAUAUUUUAUCCCGUCACAAAUGCAAGACAGGAAGUAGGGCAGAUAUGGUGUUGGCGCGAUAGAGUCUUUUCCUCCCAGAUUCGCUCCGUUCGCAUUCCUAAUUGUCACAUAAAAAAAAAAAAGAAGUAAUUCUCUAUAAAGUCAUGCUGCUUUUGCCCCUUUUUUGGGGCAAAAUUUUUGACAUUUAAGCUUUUUUGGGGAAAUGUAUUAACAUACAUAAAGAAAGCCUUUUGCAAACUCCAUCAAAGAUAUUUCAAUACAAUACUCAUUAAUAACAAAUAACAGAGCUUUAGUUGUCACUUUCAUUGGUUGGUUCAAUUUAGCCUACUUCCAAAGCCAUGACAGUGCUUAUCUAAAGAGACUUCUCAGGUAUUUUUUUUGGGCAUUAUUUAUUAAUCACUCACAUGCCCAUGAUUGUGACCAAUCAAGGCCUAACAAUGAAGAUAAGGAACAGUGUAUGUAUAUUAUAUUCACAUAUAAGUAAAUUUCAUAAUUGCUUUCAUAAGAAGCAGUGUUUCUCAGUUCAUCAAUGUUAUUAUAAUAUUUUGAAUACUUUUCCCCUUUUAGUGGGCCAAGUACUUAAGAUAGUGAUGGUCAUGGGGAUAAUUGGUUUUCACAAGGUGUUAAAUGUUGUUGUAUUUCUAAUAAGGUUUAAACAAUUAAGCAUUUAUUGGUGGAAGAGGGGAAAUUAAUAAUACUCAGGGAAUUAAUUUUCAUGAAGAAAAUUGAAGAAUCUGAAGUAUGGUAUGAUAAUAAUUAAUCUUAAACGCUAACAACUAAUUCCAAAAACUCGAACUGUUGGAAAGAUACAACUAAUUGUUUUAAAGUGUACAGAUGCAGUACCUAUAGGUCUCAAUUAUGACUAGGCCUAAUCGGCCUCUCGCUACUUCAAACAUCAUUCGGCCCAACUCAGCCUCUCGUCAUUUUGAACGUGACUCGACCCAAUCUGAUCUCUCACCGAGAUGAGAAUGUCGGUCCCAUUUAAGCGAACGAAAAGAAGCGCUAGCUUCAUCUUCUUCUAAUUAAUUUAUGCCUCUAUAAAUUUAAAUUUUAUGUUUGUUUCAAAUGUGUGAGUCAUUUAUAUAUAUCUAGGAUAUAGAAAUACCAUCAAGGAGACCAUAUAAUAUCAAAGCACACUUCAUCAACUCAAAAGUUCGUCAAUAAUGGCCAUCGCAUUUUUUAUUUCUAGAGACGACUAAAUUUUGUAUUCUUGUUAGACAUCCCAUGCUUAUCCAUAGCCACUUGAGCUACAUUAUAGGGCAAUGCAAAGGGCACCAUAAAAUGUUUCUUAUAAAUGCUGCUGACGAGUUAGAAAUUUAUAUUGUCGGAUCGUUGGCGCUAACCAUUAAUUCCAAAAACUUGAGUUGUUAGAAAAAUAAACCAAUUCACUUAGCGUCAACGGGCUUAGGUUGUAACUCAGCCCAACCAAUCUCACGCCACUUCGAACAUAAUUUUACUCAACCCGACCUCUCACAAUUUCGAAUAUGACUCGACCCAACCUGAUCUCCCAUAACAAGAUAGAAUUAAUGCUGGCCUGUCUCUUUAAUCCAACAUAUAUAUAUAUAUAUUAGUAUGUUAGUAACUAAAUUUUUUAUUUUUUUUCUUGUCACAUGAGAACUACAGACUUAUUAGCAACAUUAAUUUGAGGGGAUCUUCUAAGAUAUCCAAAAGAUUACUCCAUAUUAUAAUGCCCUCCUUUGCGUAUCUAGUUUCAACACCAUCAAUCAUCAUUUAUAUUAUUAUGGGAGACAUGAUAAGGUGGAGUCCCCUUAAUCAUAAACUAACCUUUCCAAAACCAUGUUAUGUUUGGAUGCAUUCUUUUUCAUAUUCAAAAGCCUUUCCUUUCACAUUAAAAUUAAUAGAAUUAAUGAGCACCUUCUAUCUAUACAUUGUUGUAAUUUUGUGAUGUGAGUGCUCUUCUAAGAGGAAAACAAGCAAAAAAGUAGAGAGCACUAAAAGUGGCUUAGUGGGAGCUGUUAUUAUGCUUGAUUUGAUUAAGGAAUUGGUGCAUGCAACAUCUAAAUUUUCCAAAGAUCUUUUCUCCAUCAAUGGCAUCUUCUGCAUACAUAACUUGGAGUGGUUUUCAUAUGAUGUCAUGAGAGAGAGAGAGAGAGAGAGAGAGAGAGAGAGAGAGAGAGAGUCAUUAAAGCUUGAUGGUGGUGUUGCUCUUAAAUGAAGGUUUCCUAGUUUUUUGAAACUUAAAAGUGUGAGCUCAAUUUGGAGCCACCCAAAAUAAAAUGUCAUGGUGUUCUUUCAUAAUUAAUUAACUAAUUAAGUUCACCAAUUAUGUAGAGAGAUGAAUGAGAGAGAGAGAGAGAGAGAGAGAGAUCUAGAGUGAGAGAGAGUUAAUUUCCAUGAUGAUGGUUUAAUUUGUUCUUGAGUGAAGGUACAUGAGAAUUAAUUAUGAGCUCAAUUUGCAGCAAACCAAGUCAUGAUUUUGUUAUUGUGCUUGUUCAAGGACUAUGUUGACCAGUUAUUUAAAGAGAUAAUAAGAGAGAAAGAGAGAGAGAGAGAGAGUAUACACAUGUGCUCCUUUCAUAUAUAUCUUCUUAAUCAUAAAAAACUAAACUAAACUAAACAACCAUUACAACAAUUAACCAUUUCAAUCACUUCACUUAAACUAAAACUACAAUUUCCACUACACAUGCAUGCAUGCAACUAAUUCUCUACAACUCUAUACACACACACACACACACACACACAUAGAUAUAUAUAUAUAAUUCUCCUAAUUGACUACACCUCCUAACACUAACUAAAUAAAACUACUCAAUUAAUUAGCUCCUCCUCCUCUCCAUGAACACAGAAGCCAAAUCCUCAGGCACAUCAAAGAACUCAACCCCCUCCAAUCUACACCUCAAAGGAGGCCUUGCCUUCUUAGGAGCAGGUGGGCAAAGCAACACCUCCUGCUCCUGCUGCUGCAAUACUUUAGCACCCUUCUUUGGUGUCAACUGCAGAAGAAGAUCCUCCUCCUCCUCCUCCUCCUCCUCUUUUGCUUCAUGCUGUGGUGCAGUAGUGAGGGGCUUCAGAGGCUUCAAUAUCGGCGCUUUCAGCGGAAUUCCGGCAAUGACCCACAUGGCUUUCUCUCCAUUAGCUUCACUUUGAUGCUGCUUCUUUUGGAAGCCCAUGUAGAAAGAAGGAGAAAGAUGCAAGAGGAGAAAGGAGUGUGUUGUGGAGGUGGAGAGAGAGAAAAAGAAGAGUAGUGUGUGUGUGUGUGUGUGUGUGUGUGUGUGUGUGUGAGGAAAUGAGAGAGAAAGGAGAGGGGGUGUGAAGCUCUUUUUAUUAAGGGUAUCUUCUUUUAAGAAGAAAGGGGUGGGAGGGAAAAAAGAGGAAAAGGGAGGGGGGUGAGUGAAAAAGAGAGUGGCAAAAGUGGAGGGAAUUUAAGUGAAGAGGUGAGGGGACUUGUGACUUGUGUGAGAGCUCAAACAAAAGGAGCCACAUCCUAAAAAGUAUAGAGUAGAUGAGAGAGAGUGAGAGAGAGAGAGAGAGAGAGAGAGGGAGAGAGAGAGAGAAAGGUGUUUACACAUUGUGGUUUCUAAAAUUUAAUUAUAAUAAUUUUAAAAUAAUAUGCUAUGAUUGAUGAUCCUACAAUUAUUAAGAUAUAGGCACUAUAACUAUAUCAGCGAUACACCAGCAUUCAGUCAAAUAAAUUAUAUAUAAUAAUUUAAAAAAUUUGAGUCAAAAAUUAUAUUAAAUUAAAAUUAUGAUUCAAUAUUAGUAAUUUAUAUUCAUAUUUUAAAAUAUUUAGAUCUGAAUUUUCAGAGACCAAAGUGUAUAAUAAGCACAAACUAUACGAGUAUGGUGCAUGCAAUAAUUUCUCAAUGGGGGGUUAAUUUGGAAGGUGGAUACACCAUUUUGCUUCUACAAUAGCUUUACAAUUUUAUACAAUUUUUAUAAUUAUUUAUCUUUCCUAGAGAAGAAGCUUUUCACCCUAUAAAUGAGUAGCACUGCAAAUUAAUUACCAAAAGUUCAGAACUUUUGAUGAUGUAGUGUUAAGCUAAACAAAUUCUAAUUUUUUUUUUAAAAAAAAACUAAUAAAGCUCUACAUGUAUGUACUUUAAACCAAGCAUAAAGUGUAAAGAGUAUUUUAGCCAAAAAAAAAAAAAAAAAGGAAAAAAAAGGGGGAAUGCUCAAUCAUUGGAUAUUGUCCUAUGCAUAUGAAUGCAAAGGGCUUAGAUUGGCCUCCUCUCUCCUAAGUCCUGCCCAUAUCUUAUCCAAAUUGAUGAAGAGAGAGCAGAAAAUUUUUUAAUAAAUAUUUUUUUUAUUUUUCAAAAAUUUAUAUUUUAUUUUUUAAAAACUUUUAAAAAUAUUUUUAGUGAGUUAUAGUAUUAAUAGAAAGAACGAAAUGAUCAAAUUAAUCUUACUUAUCCUAGAAAAAAUAAAAUAAUAUUUUAAUAUUUUGUUAUUUUUAAGGGUAUUUUUGAAACGACAGAAUCAUGACGAAGAGAGCUAAAUAUAUCGACUUAAAAAAUUUGAAGGAAUAAAAUAUAAAUUUUUAAAAACCAAAAUAAAAAUUAAAAUAGCGAAUAUUUAUAACAUAGUUUUCUAUAUUUUAUUCGAGUUUUAAAAUAUAUUUUUGGUAAAAAAAAAUUAUUCAAUACUCUUUCUAACAACUCAACAUUUUUGAAAAAAUAACCAUCAAUCAUUAGCUGUAUGUUCAGAUUUAUGGCAUCACUUAUACAGUGCAAUAUCACUUUAUACAUACAGAAAUUUUAUAUACAUACGAAAGUAUUUCUUUCCUAACUUGUCUCCAUCCCCCAACCAAAUAAUAAUAAAAUAGCUAGGUACCAUUGGAUCAUACAAAAAAAAAAAAAAAAAAAAAAAAAAAAAAAAAAAAAAAAAAAAAAAAAAAAAAAAGAAAAAAGAAAAAAGAAAAAAGAAAGAAUAUCAGUGGAGAGCUUUCCUACAACGCUUCGUUCAGGACUUUUUGAUCCGUUGUCAUGUAUCAACUUUGUCUGCUCAACAAUACGUUAUCAUGUAUCACUUGAAGGUUUUUUUUUUUAUUAGAUUUUAGUUUUAACCCAUAAAUUUUUCCAUGAAGAUAAAAGUAGAGUAAGAGUCCACCUGGGAUACUAUCGAUAGCACCAAGGACUUGGUACUAUCGAGUUUUCCACCGUUAAGUUAAAUUUUUUGAUUAUUUUUGCUCGUUAAAUUAUACUAUUCAACUUCUCAAUCUAAGGGUUAAAACACUAAUAGCACCAAUAGUUUGGUGCUACUGAUAGUAUUCCGGCCUAGUCCAGUAGAGUAAUUAUAUGACAAUAGAUAUAUAGAGAGAGAUUUAGACAUUGAAGAGAGAGAGAGAGAGAGAGUAAUUUUGGGAGUUACAAAACAAUGUCCACUCUCCACCUCCAUUUCCACCCUACUCAACUAGGGCUGUCAACGAGCCGAACUCGAGCGAGCUGGAGCCAGCUCGAGAUCGGCUCGUCGUCUUCUAGGCCGGCUCGUGUUCGGCUCGAGCUCGUGACGAGCUUGAAAACUUUGGCUCGUGAUCGGCUCGAAACUUAAUCGAGCCGGCUCGUGUUCGGCUCGUUAGCUCAAUUAUAUAAUGCUACCGAAGUUCGCUGCCGCCAAAGUUCGCUGCUGCCAAAGUUCGCUGCUUCACUGCCGCCAAAGUGUCGCCGUCGAAGUGUAACAACCCUGAAGAAUAAAUGGUAGAAGUAGUAGUUAACAGAGAAAGUUAGCAAAAAAAAUAGCAACUUUACUAGUUAAAAUGGAGAAUAAAAAUGGCAGCAGCUCGGUGAUGAAGGAGGAGUCGUCGUGGCAGGUCGAGCCGUCGGGAGGUGCCCUCGCAAAGGCGCGGACGAGCUGCUAGAGGAGGACCAAGGUCGAUUAGGGCAUCCUGGAAGGCAAGAAAGAUCGAGGCCAAGAGGAGAUCCGACAGAAUCUAUGGCUUGGGGGGCGGAAGUAGUAAUACUUCAGCCGUGGCGGAGCGGGCGGUCGAACCAUCUGGAGCGGGUGAGAAACACGAGCCCACUACCCACUCCUGUGAGGAUCGUGCGGAUAAGGCAACCCGGUACCCGUUUAACCGAUAGCGGGAUUACUUAAGGAGACAAGGACCAGCCAAGCCCAGCGGGGGCCCAGCUAGCAUCAGGUGGCAGCCUAUACGAUUUUUUUAAUCAAUUCGUCAUUUUGCUGUAUAAGCCCUCAUAGAUUGAGUUGUUUACACUUCAGUAAAAGUCACCCAAUAGUAUAAAUACCAAGUAUAAUGUAAACCUGAGACCAUCAAUGAAAUGAAAUAUUGAAUCUGCUUCUUCUCCUAAUUAUCCUUCUUCUUCCCCUCUAAUCUCCACCNGAGCAGUGGAAGCGCAAGUUGCCCCCCGCCCUGCGCGGCUACGUGGAUUUGUGGCGCCCCUGCAGCGAUCUGCUCCGUUAAACUUGAAAAAAAGAUGAAACUUCAAACUUCUCCCGAUCCAUCAUCUUCUGCCACCCCUUAGUCUUAUUCUUAUCUAAUAAUUAAUAAUUAGAUAUUUUUUAUAGUAAGAUUUGGAGAAGUAGAUUAUAAUUUUUAGAUAGAGAUAAAAAUGGAACGAUAGAUCGAAGUUUCUUAACGAGAUGUUGUUGUCGUCUCUAAGAAAAAUUAGAAAUUGCUCACUUAGAAGUCAGGCGCCAACAUUGUCGGGUUUGAGUUGGUUGGUAUAUUUUCUUAUGGAGAAAUUGUGAUGUCCUAUUUCUCAUUAGGUCAUCCAUUUCAAGAUUAUUUUAAUGUUAGUAUGUUUACCUCUCUUAAUCUAUUCUACCAUGGUCUAGCUACUGUCCAUUAAAUUUUAUUAUAUUUUACAUAUAGAAUUAUCGGAGAUCUUACAUUUUGUAUUUUUUAAGUCCUGACUUUUCGUCAGGAUCGGACUUACCAGUACCAGGCGAUGUAAGAUUCACAUCGUCUCGCUAAUCUUAAUUAACCUUCUGGGGCAGUUGCAUUUUACCCACAACAGUCAUUGGCUUGAAACCCUCGCUCUUCCCGUUGUAUAAUCUGGCUCAUCUCAUACUUUCAGUUGGUAAUUGGCUGAUACCAAUUGUGACGGCCCAUUUCUAAGGGAAUCACCUAUCCUAGUGUUGGCUUAAAUAGACCAGCAUUCUGCCCUGUGGCGGGAGAUUAUGUUGCGUCGAGUCAUGUUCGAAGUGGCGUGAGACUGGUUAGACCGAGUCAGAAUCAAGACCCGUGCGCACUGUAUUUGUACGGUUUAAGUGAAUUGGUUGUAUAUUUCUAAUAGCUUGAGUUUUUGGGAUUAAUGAUUAGUGCCAACGAUUCGACACCUAGGACUAUUAUAGUCUUAAUAUGCUUAACUCUCUUAACUUCUUGCGUCUAGCUAUCGCCCAAAAUUCUAUAACCGGAUUAAGAAAUUUAAUCAUAUUAUAUCUUACAUAUAAGACUACCUAGGGUCUUACAGAAACUAUGUUUUAGCACGGUAUAUCUAAAUAGUUUAAGUGAAUUGGUUGCAUAUUUCUUAUGAGCACGGUGGAAAUAGCGGCAAAAAAAGAAAAAAAAACUUCAAUCACUCUUCUUUCCUAUGUUUUAGCAGAUUUUGUAUUUUAUUUUAUUAAUUUGUGAAUGCAUUUGACUAUUAGUUAGUAUCUCUUGCUACACGAAUAUUUUUUAUAACUAUUCAAUUUAAAUUGGAUGAUAAUAAAAUAAAUAUUUAUAAUAAAAAAUAAUAAAAGUUAUUAAAANCCCCCUCGCUCCCCACCUCCACCUACUUCGACCUCUUCGCCUCGCUCCCCCCCAUCCUCCCCCCCGGGCCCCUCGCCCUCCUCGGCUUCGGCGCCGGCUCCGCCGCGCGCCUCGUCCUCGCCCUCCACCCCGGGGCGCGGAUCCACGGCUACGAGCUCGACCCCUGCGUCCUCGCCUUCGCCCGCCGCUUCUUCGCCCUCGCCGACCUCGAGGCCCGCCACCCGCUCCGCCUCACCGUCCACGAGGCCGACGCCCUCGCCGGCCCCGCCGCGUCCGUCCCCGGCGGGUUCGCCGGGCUCAUGGUCGACCUCUUCCUCCGCGGGAGCGUCGUCCCCGAGCUCCAGGACGCGGCGACGUGGGCGGCGCUGAAGGGGCGGGUGAGGGACGGGGGGCGGGUGAUGGUGAACCUGGGGGGGCGGUGCGUGGAGGCGGAGGAGCGGAGGGACGGGGACGCGGUGAUGCGGGCGACGCUGGGCGCCAUGAGGGAGGCGUUCGGCGCGCACCAGGUGUUUGUGUUAAGUCUCGGCCGAGGCGGGGGCGACGAUGACAGCUUCGUCGCGCUCACGGGGCCGCUGCCGAAUUCAGAGCAGUGGAAGCGCAAGUUGCCCCCCGCCCUGCGCGGCUACGUGGAUUUGUGGCGCCCCUGCAGCGAUCUGCUCCGUUAAACUAAAAAAAAAAGAGAAAAGAUGAAACUUCAGACUUUCAGGAGCCAGCUCCCCAUCCAUCAUCCUCUGCCACUUGUUAGUUUUAUCCUCGUCUAAUAAUUAUUGAUUAGAUUAGAUAUAUAUUUUUUUGGAUAGAGAUAAAAUUCGCACGUGACGAUGGAUUAGGGUCAUCCAUCCUAGAAAUAUUUUAGUUUCACUAUAUCUAAUUUUUUUAACAUCUUGGGUCUAACUACCAUCUAUUAAAUUUUAUUAUAUCUUAUAUAUAGAACUAGUUACCGUCUCACAUUUUUCUCCUUUUAAGUUCUGACGUUCUCGUCAAGGUUAGAUUCGUAAGUAUCGGACGAUCUGAGACGUGUCUCGCUAGCCUUAAUCGACAUUGUGGGAAAGCCAUGCUCCACCUAUUAAAUC